GUGGGGAAUAUUGGACAAUGGGCGAAAGCCUGAUCCAGCCAUGCCGCGUGUGUGAAGAAGGUCUUCGGAUUGUAAAGCACUUUAAGUUGGGAGGAAGGGCAGUAAGUUAAUACCUUGCUGUUUUGACGUUACCGACAGAAUAAGCACCGGCUAACUUCGUGCCAGCAGCCGCGGUAAUACGAAGGGUGCAAGCGUUAAUCGGAAUUACUGGGCGUAAAGCGUGCGCAGGCGGUGCUGUAAGACAGGCGUGAAAUCCCCGGGCUCAACCUGGGAACUGCCUCCAAAACUGCAUGACUAGAGUACGGUAGAGGGUAGUGGAAUUUCCUGUGUAGCGGUGAAAUGCGUAGAUAUAGGAAGGAACACCAGUGGCGAAGGCGACUACCUGGACUGAUACUGACACUGAGGUGCGAAAGCGUGGGGAGCAAACAGGAUUAGAAACCCGUGUAGUCC
RNAcentral lists this ribosomal RNA (450 nucleotides) under uncultured bacterium. RNAcentral describes it as "partial 16S ribosomal RNA". It matches the Rfam family "Bacterial small subunit ribosomal RNA", at positions 354 to 796 of the family's 1533-position model. The record is from RNAcentral.